AAGGAUAAACGGAAGCACGUUUGGAGUAUUGUUUAGUUUUGAGAGGUCUUGUGGGGCCUUAGCUCAGCUGGGAGAGCGCCUGCUUUGCACGCAGGAGGUCAGCGGUUCGAUCCCGCUAGGCUCCAUUGAAUCGAAAGAUUCAAAGAUUGUCCAUUGAAAAUUGAAUAUCUAUAUCAAAUUCCACGAUUCAAGAAAUUGAAUUGUAUAUAGUAACAAGAAAUAAACCGAAACGCUGUGAUUUAAUGAGUUUAAGGUCAACAGACCAAAAUAA
RNAcentral lists this transfer RNA (271 nucleotides) under Streptococcus equinus. Its description in RNAcentral is "16S-23S ribosomal RNA intergenic spacer". The stretch from base 53 to 125 matches the Rfam family "tRNA". The record is from RNAcentral. Lineage: Bacteria; Bacillati; Bacillota; Bacilli; Lactobacillales; Streptococcaceae.